This 253-nucleotide ribosomal RNA is filed under the name uncultured bacterium. RNAcentral's name for it is "partial 16S ribosomal RNA". It matches the Rfam family "Bacterial small subunit ribosomal RNA", at positions 524 to 776 of the family's 1533-position model. The record is from RNAcentral.
UACGUAGGGUGCAAGCGUUGUCCGGAAUUAUUGGGCGUAAAGAGCUUGUAGGCGGUUAGUCGCGUCUGCUGUGAAAACUCGGGGCUUAACUCCGGGCCUGCAGUGGGUACGGGCUGACUAGAGUGCGGUAGGGGAGACUGGAAUUCCUGGUGUAGCGGUGAAAUGCGCAGAUAUCAGGAGGAACACCGAUAGCGAAGGCAGCUCGCUGGGACGGUACUGACGCUGAGGCGCGAAAGCGUGGGGAGCGAACAGG